AUCUAAGCAAUCACAAUCUUGUAUUGCCACAGUUAAGCCAAGAUUUCCAACUAAGUUUUCUUUGUUAAAAUCCAGAUAAAGGUAUAUGAAACAAAAUGCAUCAUUCACUUGCUUCAAAGAAUCAUAGAAUGGCUUGGGUUGGAGUAUCUUUGGGUUACAAUAUCUUUCUGCUAAAUCCAUGAAGCAGCAGCGGAGAAAGUGAAGAAUCCAUGGUUCUCUACAACAGCAAAGACGCAUCACCAUACCUUGGAUAUCUAUAGCUUUGAUAACUAGUCCAAACUGGACAUCUCUGUAUAAUCGAUACAGACACGUAUACACAGAAGCAGCCCCAGAAGGUGUCUUGGAAAAACAUCGAGAAACCAUAACACUAACCAAAAAUAACAGGAAAAAAGAAUAAAUAAUCCCUAAAAAAGGAAGAUGUAUGAUAUCUUAUUUCUACUCUUCAGCUUCUCUCCUCAUGGCUACCUCAAGAACAGCCCAAGCUUUGACCUCAAGGUGGUGGUGGUAUAAAGGAGAGCAAAAAUGAAGGCAACCAUUUAAUGUGAUGGAACAGGUAGCACAGAUAAUA
Coturnix japonica (Japanese quail) is the source of this 568-nucleotide non-coding RNA. The record is from RefSeq and is a predicted model, not a curated record. Lineage: Eukaryota; Metazoa; Chordata; Aves; Galliformes; Phasianidae.